CAACUUGACCUCAAAUCAGGUAGGACUACCCGCUGAACUUAAGCAUAU
This 48-nucleotide ribosomal RNA is filed under the name Collybiopsis confluens. Its description in RNAcentral is "partial 28S large subunit ribosomal RNA". Lineage: Eukaryota; Fungi; Basidiomycota; Agaricomycetes; Agaricales; Omphalotaceae. The record is from RNAcentral.